RNAcentral lists this ribosomal RNA (253 nucleotides) under uncultured bacterium. RNAcentral's name for it is "partial 16S ribosomal RNA". It matches the Rfam family "Bacterial small subunit ribosomal RNA", at positions 524 to 776 of the family's 1533-position model. The record is from RNAcentral.
GACGAACCGAGCGAACGUUGUUCGGAAUAACUGGGCUUAAAGGGCGCGUAGGCGGGCCGCCAAGUUCGAGGUGAAAUCCUCCGGCUCAACCGGAGAACUGCCUCGAAUACUGGAGGCCUCGAGGCGGGUAGGGGCAUGCGGAACUGUGGGUGGAGCGGUGAAAUGCGUUGAUAUCCACAGGAACUCCGGUGGCGAAAGCGGCGUGCUGGACCUUUUCUGACGCUGAGGCACGAAAGCUAGGGGAGCAAACGGG